RNAcentral lists this ribosomal RNA (480 nucleotides) under uncultured bacterium. Its description in RNAcentral is "bacterial SSU rRNA". It matches the Rfam family "Bacterial small subunit ribosomal RNA", at positions 447 to 918 of the family's 1533-position model. The record is from RNAcentral.
GAAAUCGCAUCUCCUAAUACGGGGUGUGGAUGACGGUACCAGCAUAAGAAGCACCGGCUAACUACGUGCCAGCAGCCGCGGUAAUACGUAGGGUGCGAGCGUUAAUCGGAAUUACUGGGCGUAAAGCGUGCGCAGGCGGUUUCGUAAGACAGAGGUGAAAUCCCCGGGCUCAACCUGGGAACUGCCUUUGUGACUGCGAGGCUAGAGUAUGGCAGAGGGGGGUGGAAUUCCACGUGUAGCAGUGAAAUGCGUAGAGAUGUGGAGGAACACCGAUGGCGAAGGCAGCCCCCUGGGCCAAUACUGACGCUCAUGCACGAAAGCGUGGGGAGCAAACAGGAUUAGAUACCCUGGUAGUCCACGCCCUAAACGAUGUCAACUAGGUGUUGGGAGGGUUAAACCUUUUAGUACCGUAGCUAACGCGUGAAGUUGACCGCCUGGGGAGUACGGCCGCAAGGUUAAAACUCAAAGGAAUUGACGGGG